AAAUUGAGGGUAACAUAACUGUGAUGUCUGUCACUGCAUGUCCAGGGUUGAUUUGCGUGGUCUGGCUGGCUGUGGGAGUGUCCCUGUCCUCCCUCCCUGCUCCAUGUGUGUCCUUCUAAAGCCACAUGCUCAGUGGAAGAGAAUGACCUUCCCUGAGAGCGAAGGUCUCUUUGGUUGAGAAUACGAGUAGAGUACUUUUCUGCUAGAACCUUUCAACAAGCUCUCAAGCUCAGUAAGAGUAGAGUACUUUCCUGCUAAGCUAGAACCAUGCAGCAAGCUCCCUGGGAGAAUGGAGGGUAGUCAAGCUUCCAUGAUUCCAUACAUAUCCAAAUGAGGUGCUGAGUGGCAGUCUACUUAUAAGA
This 362-nucleotide small nuclear RNA is filed under the name Otolemur garnettii (small-eared galago). RNAcentral's name for it is "7SK RNA". It matches the Rfam family "7SK RNA". Rfam says of the family: 7SK was discovered as an abundant small nuclear RNA in the mid-70s but a possible function has only recently been suggested. Lineage: Eukaryota; Metazoa; Chordata; Mammalia; Primates; Galagidae. The record is from Rfam by way of RNAcentral.